AUUGAACGCUGGCGGCAUGCUCUACACAUGCAAGUCGAACGGUAACAGGCCGCAAGGUGCUGACGAGUGGCGAACGGGUGAGUAAUGCAUCGGAACGUGCCCAGUCGUGGGGGAUAACUACUCGAAAGAGUAGCUAAUACCGCAUACGAUCUAUGGAUGAAAGCGGGGGACCGUAAGGCCUCGCGCGAUUGGAGCGGCCGAUGUCAAAUUAGGUAGUUGGUGGGGUAAAGGCUCACCAAGCCAACGAUCUGUAGCUGGUCUGAGAGGACGACCAGCCACACUGGGACUGAGACACGGCCCAGACUCCUACGGGAGGCAGCAGUGGGGAAUUUUGGGCAAUGGGCGCAAGCCUGAUCCAGCAAUGCCGCGUGCAGGAAGAAGGCCUUCGGGUUGUAAACUGCUUUUGUACGGAACGAAACGGCUCUGGUUAAUACCCGGGGCUAAUGACGGUACCGUAAGAAUAAGCACCGGCUAACUACGUG
This 482-nucleotide ribosomal RNA is filed under the name uncultured bacterium. RNAcentral describes it as "partial 16S ribosomal RNA". It matches the Rfam family "Bacterial small subunit ribosomal RNA", at positions 30 to 507 of the family's 1533-position model. The record is from RNAcentral.